ACUAUAUAUCCCGGGCUCCACGAGUAGUGUAUGAGGAAUGCGUUGACGAGAGUCGACAUUCAGUGAGCACUCGUCCUCGGCCCGGCGUUGUUCUAAACAGCCCGAGGCCUCCCAUUGAAUGCGUAAACGAGCCUGGAGUGCCUCCGUCAACCUCAGCCCACCCGGUUUUAGAUACACAUGGGAAGAUGUGUUUUGGGGAGGAAGAGGAGAUGAGGGGCGUGCCCACAGUUAGCCUCGCUAAUCCGGCACGGGAAAAGGGUGGAAGGGGAGACGUUCUCAGCUGAGGAACCGGCCUCUAGGAAGGGAAGGUUAUGGGUGGAGCGACGGCUGCUGUGCAUUAUAAGGUUAGGUCCAAAGAAACCUGGGUUGCAGAGAGCAUCGAGAUGUGAUGGGACCUGACUUGGGAAGACAGUGUCAUUUACCAAGCAAGAGUGAUGUGUCUGUAAGAGGAGGACCCUCAUGAUUGAAUCCACUGACAGCAGUACUGCUCAAGCCCUGGACCUGCAAGCCGUCCUGUGGGCUCAAGAAUCUGGGUCGGCAGGGGCUGGGAUGCCUCUCAACUAAGUUUCCCUGCUUCUGACUCACUGCCCCCUCCUCCCAUACACGGAGAACAAAAGGGCCAGAAUCGGGCUGCUUGCUUCCUUUCUCAGGGAUAGUAAUUGGCCUUCGAAAGUUCAGAUUCAUAACUCGCUUUUUCAGUUGGGUACAGGGAGCUAAGCCAUCUUUAAAAAUAUGAUAAUGCAGUUAGAAAGCCGAGUCCUGAUUGGUAGGCUGAUGAUGGCAUGAUUUGAUUCUCCCAAAUCAUCUUUGGAAAACGGUGAGCCCUACAAUAUGCUUAUCCCUUGUGCAAUUACCCAGUGCCAGGUCCCAGAGGCUGCAGAUGGGAGCCCAGAACUAGUCAGAUGAUUCUUCUAGAAGCUUGUGUGUGAGAGAGAGAACAGAUAAGUAUCCCCAUCCUCUCUCCGUUAGUCCACUCUGGUAUGAUGCGUCCAAGAAGUUGUAAAUAACCUUUCCAGAGGUGAGGGGACAGACCCUGAGUUGGUGCUAUGGAAAUGCUGAAGCACCAGCAGUGACCAGUACUGAAUGCCCACUUUACCCCAGGAGCUGUGUUACCACCGCUUCCCACUGCAUAACCUGCAGAGACAGGAACAAGGACAAAAAAGGGCUGAGAUUGGAACCCUGCAGGGACUUGGGGGCGGGGGCUGAUUGCACACUGGCUACAAUGAAUGAAUCAGCAUCUUCCUGGGAAAUGCAGGCAGGCAGUCAUGCAAGGGACCCGCACGUCUGCACCCUGGCUCCAAGUCAGGGGACAGAUAGCAGCCUCAGACUUGGGAUUAUCAUCAUUAUUUCAAAGACGACAGAAACAGUUCAUCUACAAAAAGUUAAAAGCAGACAAAACCUGCUUGUUUGUUUGUUUUUCUCUGAACGUGUUUGUUUUCAAUACAGUAAGAAUAGGCACACUUGAGUAGCUGCUUGCUGCACAGAGGCUGCUGAGACAUCUAAGUGCAUCAUCCCAGAGGCUGGCCAGACAGGGAUGAUGGGACGAUGGGGAACAGAGCUUGUUUGAAGACUACACCAUUUGGGCUGUUAGGCGCUGCUGGAGGACACAGCUGGCAUUUCACCUCACUGAAGAACGCUUUUGGAUGAAGCUUGUUCCAGGAUCCACCUCUCUUUCUGUCUUGGUUCUGUGUUAAAUGGGCCUUAGGCCUACUUCUUUAAAAUGGUCCAGGAUGAACAUCUGUUAAAUCGCAGCACUAGAGAGGCAGAGGCAGGAGCAUCACAAAUCCCAGGAUAGCCUGGGCUACACAUGAAGAUUCCGUCUCAGAAACAAAGCAAAGCAAAGCAAGGUAAGAAAGAGCAAGAACCCUGUCACAUCCCCAUAAGCACCAUAUCUCUACUGCUCCUUCUGGUAAACUCCUUGGAAAUCAGUGCAACGAACCCUGCCGUGAACACUUCCAGCUCUCCUUCCCAGUCCUUGUGUUCCCAGAAAGUGUUGUGGUCAGUGUCACCAACCCUCCACACCUGGCCUGGGUCUCCCUCACAGCCAGGCUCUCCUGAUCUUCCGCUCCUUAUUCUCAAGGAGGGCGUGACCCCAAGGCUUGGUGUUCAGCUCUCUUUGGUCUUCAACUAGCAUCUCCGAAGCCUAACCGUGGAGUGCGGCUGUACCUGCUGGCUUCCCAAUGUAAGAGGGGCACUAGGGUAUGCCACAGCUGUUGAGUAAGUGUUCUGGAAAAUUCCAGGCUUAUGGGGGGGGCGUGUUUUAAUUCUUGCAUCUGCUCCUUCUGCUUCCUUUCCCUCUUUUUCUUCUUCUUCCUCCCGCUCCCCUUCCUGGCCCUCCUUAUCCUGCUUCCUCUGCUUCUUGUACUGAGGGCUGAACUCAGGGUCUUGUGCAGGCCUGGCCAGAGCUCUGGCCCUGACCUGCAUUUCCUCCACGCUCGCCCUGCUGUCUCUACACUUGUUCUAUCAAUCGUAGAGGAAGAGUGUUGAUCUCUUGUGGUGAUCAUGACGACUUUGUUUCUUCUUGCAGUCCCAUUUGUUUGCUGUGACUUAAUCAGCCACUCCUCCUCCUGAUGACGGUGAUAAUGAAGAUGAUUUUUUGUUUUUUUUUAAAGACAGGGUUUCUCUGUAUAGCCCUAGCUGUCCUGGGACUCUUAUUUGUAGACCUGGCCUCAAACUCACAGAGAUCCACGUGCCUGUGCUUUUCAGGCGCCAGGAUUAAAGGCGUGCGACAGUCUUCUGAUUUUUUAGUAGCUUCUUCAUCAGGUGCUCAUUUUCUUUCUUCUGGCUUAUAUGAGGGGCGCUUUGGGAGCAUCUGGAGUGUAAACGCCUUCUAGCGGGUAAUGGGGGCUGAGGAUCUGUGGCUUCGCAGGCUAGACCUCGGCUGUUUGUGUGAGCCUAGCAUUGCACCAUUGCCACUCCCCUGGGGGGUUCAACACCUUCUAGGACCUGGAGGAUUUGGCCCCUGUUUUAAAUUUCUUCCCCCCCCCCCCGGGUGGUAAGCGGUCUCCUGUCUCCACAUAUUGCAGCUUUGAGUUUGUUGAUAGGAGGGCUAUCCCCCUGUUGUAGGCUUUGGCUCCCAUCAGUAAAUGGUCCCAUAUCUGAGUUGGGGAGUGGCUCAUCCUUUAAGUGUGGCUGUGAGGAGAAAUAAGUGUGGCUGUGAGGAGAAAAUCUCUUUCAUAAUUCCUUCACAAUCAUGGAAGGGCACUUCUCUUCAGGCAAAUAUGUGGCUGUAUGACAUAGCUGCCAUCUUCUUGGAUGGCACCAGGCUCUCACACAAACACACACACCCACACACACACACAC
Molecule: non-coding RNA, 3303 nt
Organism: Cricetulus griseus (Chinese hamster)
Lineage: Eukaryota; Metazoa; Chordata; Mammalia; Rodentia; Cricetidae
Source: RefSeq, a predicted model, not a curated record